GGGCGGAUGGCGGAAUUGGUAUACGCGCAUGCCUUAGGAGCAUGUGGGGAAACCCUUGGAGGUUCAAGUCCUCUUCCGCCCACCA
RNAcentral lists this transfer RNA (85 nucleotides) under Omnitrophica WOR_2 bacterium GWA2_53_43. RNAcentral describes it as "tRNA-Leu". It matches the Rfam family "tRNA". Rfam says of the family: Transfer RNA (tRNA) molecules are approximately 80 nucleotides in length. Their secondary structure includes four short double-helical elements and three loops (D, anti-codon, and T loops). Further hydrogen bonds mediate the characteristic L-shaped molecular structure. tRNAs have two regions of fundamental functional importance: the anti-codon, which is responsible for specific mRNA codon recognition, and the 3' end, to which the tRNAs corresponding amino acid is attached (by aminoacyl-tRNA synthetases). tRNAs cope with the degeneracy of the genetic code in two manners: having more than one tRNA (with a specific anti-codon) for a particular amino acid; and 'wobble' base-pairing, i.e. permitting non-standard base-pairing at the 3rd anti-codon position. The record is from RNAcentral. RNAcentral also lists the same sequence under 1 other name. Lineage: Bacteria; Pseudomonadati; Candidatus Omnitrophota.